GUUGAAGUAUAUGUUUACGCCUACUGUUCCAGGAAGUGACCAUGUUCCAGGAAGUAAAAGUUUCAUUCAGAAGGUUAGUCCUUUUCAUGCAGAUGUCUCCUGAUAUCACAGGACUCACAGGCCACAAAUAAAACCACAUCUCCUUCCUUCACUCACCGGGAGAGAUCAUUUAAUCCAGGACGAGGAGCUACAGGAGUGCGAGGGAGGAUUUCCAGAACAUCACAUCUUCCCUUGGUCGUGGAAUUAAAGUGGUGAAUAAUUCAUGGCUGAAAGCAUCCGUCAUCUCUCCAAGCUGCAUCUUCUCCUGGACACCAGGGGAUUUGAAGGCAAG
Long non-coding RNA from Xiphias gladius (swordfish), 331 nucleotides. RefSeq lists it as uncharacterized. The transcript is spliced from 3 exons. The record is from RefSeq and is a predicted model, not a curated record. NCBI's taxonomy places the organism in Eukaryota, Metazoa, Chordata, Actinopteri, Istiophoriformes, Xiphiidae.